RNAcentral lists this ribosomal RNA (486 nucleotides) under uncultured Verrucomicrobiota bacterium. RNAcentral's name for it is "bacterial SSU rRNA". It matches the Rfam family "Bacterial small subunit ribosomal RNA", at positions 355 to 851 of the family's 1533-position model. The record is from RNAcentral. Lineage: Bacteria; Pseudomonadati; Verrucomicrobiota.
UCGAGAAUUUUUCACAAUGGGGGCAACCCUGAUGGAGCGACGCCGCGUGGAGGAUGAAGGCCUUCGGGUUGUAAACUCCUGUCAUGCGGGAACAAGCAAGUGAUAGUACCGCAAGAGGAAGAGACGGCUAACUCUGUGCCAGCAGCCGCGGUAAUACAGAGGUCUCAAGCGUUGUUCGGAUUCAUUGGGCGUAAAGGGUGCGUAGGUGGUGACGCAAGUCUGGUGUGAAAUCUCGGAGCUCAACUCCGAAAUUGCACCGGAUACUGCGUGACUCGAGGACUGUAGAGGAGAUCGGAAUUCACGGUGUAGCAGUGAAAUGCGUAGAUAUCGUGAGGAAGACCAGUUGCGAAGGCGGAUCUCUGGGCAGUUCCUGACACUGAGGCACGAAGGCCAGGGGGAGCAAACGGGAUUAGGAUACCCCGGUAGUCCUGGCAGUAAACGGUGCACGUUUGGUGUGGGCGGGUUCAGACCCCGUCCGUGCCGGAG